Molecule: ribosomal RNA, 253 nt
Filed under: uncultured bacterium
Lineage: Bacteria
Description: partial 16S ribosomal RNA
Rfam family: Bacterial small subunit ribosomal RNA
Source: RNAcentral
UACGUAGGUGGCAAGCGUUGUCCGGAUUUACUGGGCGUAAAGGAUGCGUAGGCGGACAUUUAAGUCAGAUGUUAAAUACCCGAGCUUAACUUGGGUGCUGCAUUUGAAACUGGGUGUCUAGAGUGCAGGAGAGGUAAGUGGAAUUCCUAGUGUAGCGGUGAAAUGCGUAGAGAUUAGGAAGAACACCAGUGGCGAAGGCGACUUACUGGACUGUAACUGACGCUGAGGCAUGAAAGCGUGGGGAGCAAACAGG